This 253-nucleotide ribosomal RNA is filed under the name uncultured bacterium. RNAcentral's name for it is "partial 16S ribosomal RNA". It matches the Rfam family "Bacterial small subunit ribosomal RNA", at positions 524 to 776 of the family's 1533-position model. The record is from RNAcentral.
UACGAAGGGUGCAAGCGUUACUCGGAAUUACUGGGCGUAAAGCGUGCGUAGGUGGUUUCUUAAGUCUGCUGUGAAAGCCCCGGGCUCAACCUGGGAAUUGCAGUGGAUACUGGGAAGCUAGAGUGCGGUAGAGGGUAGUGGAAUUCCCGGUGUAGCGGUGAAAUGCGUAGAGAUCGGGAGGAACACCAGUGGCGAAGGCGGCUACCUGGACAGUUCCUGACGCUGAGGCACGAAGGCCAGGGGAGCAAACGGG